GUUUUGAUUAUGGCUCAGAUUGAACGCUGGCGGGAUGCUUUACACAUGCAGAGUCGAGCAGCAGCGGACUUCGGUCACAGGUGGCGGUGGCGAACGGGUGAGUAAUGUAUCCGGAACGUUGCCCUAGUAGCGAGAUAUACGCGGCGUAUGUCUACUGCUUACGCCUUCGGGGGAAAGCGGGGGACCUUCGGAGCCUCACUAUUAAACGGCCGAUAUCGGAUUAGCUAGUUGGUGGGGUAACGGCUCACCGGCGAGCGAUCGUAGCUGGUUUGAGAGGACGACCAGCCACACUGGGACUGGAACACGGCCCAGACUCCUCACGGAGGCAGCAGUGGGGAAUUUUGGACAAUGGGGGAAACCCUGAUCCCAGCCAUCCCGCGUGUGCGAUGAAGGCCUUCGGGUUGUAAAGCGCUUUUGGCAGGAAGAAAACGGCACGGGAUAUGCAGCCGCAACUGACGGUACCUGCAGAAUAAGCACCAGCUAACUACGUGCCAGCAGCGCGGUAAAUACGUAGGGUGCAAGCGUUAAUCGGAAUUACUGGGCGUAAAGCGUGCGCAGGCGGUUCGGAAAGAAGAUGUGAAAUCCCAGAGCUUAACUUUGGAACUGCAUUUUAGCUACCGAGCUGAGGUGUAUCAGAGGAGGUGGAAUUCCGCGUCUUCGCGGAGGUGAAAUGCGUAGAUACCACGGAGAACCGAUGGCGAAGGCAGCCUCCUGGGGAUGCUGACGCUCAUGCACGGCGGUAAGGGGAGCAAACAGGAUUAGAUACCCUGACGGUCACGCCCUAAACGAUGUCAACUUCGCUGUUGGGGCCUUCGGGCCUUGGUAGCGCAACUAACGCGUGAGGUGCGACCGCCUGGGAAGUACGGUCGCAAGAUUAAAACUCAAGGAAUUGACGGGGACACACAAGCGAGUGGAUGAUGUCAAGUUAAUUCGAUGCAGCACCCGAAAAGAAAACCUACCCUUGACAUGUCUGGAAUCCCGAAGAGAUUUGGGGGUGCUCGCAAGAGAACCGGAACACAGGUGCUGCAUGGCUGUCGUCGUCGUCGCCGUGAGAUGUUGGACCCAAGUCCCGCAACAGGCGCAACCCUUGUCAUUGAUUGCUACGAGGCACUCUAAUGAGACUGCCGGUGACAAACCGGAGGAAGGUGAGGAUGACGUCAAGUCCUCACUUGGCCCUUAUGGGUAGGGCUUCGUCAUACAAUGGUCGGGACAGAGAUCGCCAACCCGCGAGGGGGAGCCCGUCGAAACCCGAUCGUAGUCCCGGAUAACGAUCUCGCAACCUCGACUGCGUGAAGUCGGAAUCUUCAAUAAUCGCGGAUCAGCAUGUCGCGGUGAAUACGUUCCAGGUCUUGUACACCACCGCCACGUCACCAUGGGAGUGGGUUUACCAGAAGUAGUUAGCCUAACCGUAAGGGCAGUGCCACAGUGGGAUUCAUGACUGGGGUGAAGUCAUGUCAUUAA
Molecule: ribosomal RNA, 1461 nt
Filed under: uncultured Bordetella sp.
Lineage: Bacteria; Pseudomonadati; Pseudomonadota; Betaproteobacteria; Burkholderiales; Alcaligenaceae
Description: partial 16S-23S ribosomal RNA intergenic spacer
Rfam family: Bacterial small subunit ribosomal RNA
Source: RNAcentral